CUGCGGCAGCGACACUGUGUGUUGUUGGGUAGGGGAGCGUUCUGUAAGCCUGUGAAGGUGUGCUGUGAGGCAUGCUGGAGGUAUCAGAAGUGCGAAUGCUGACAUAAGUAACGAUAAAGCGGGUGAAAAGCCCGCUCGCCGGAAGACCAAGGGUUCCUGUCCAACGUUAAUCGGGGCAGGGUGAGUCGACCCCUAAGGCGAGGCCGAAAGGCGUAGUCGAUGGGAAACAGGUUAAUAUUCCUGUACUUGGUGUUACUGCGAAGGGGGGACGGAGAAGGCUAUGUUGGCCGGGCAACGGUUGUCCCGGUUUAAGCGUGUAGGCUGGUUUUCCAGGCAAAUCCGGAAAAUCAAGGCUGAGGCGUGAUGACGAGGCACUACGGUGCUGAAGCAACAAAUGCCCUGCUUCCAGGAAAAGCCUCUAAGCAUCAGGUAACAUCAAAUCGUACCCCAAACCGACACAGGUGGUCAGGUAGAGAAUACCAAGGCGCUUGAGAGAACUCGGGUGAAGGAACUAGGCAAAAUGGUGCCGUAACUUCGGGAGAAGGCACGCUGAUAUGUAGGUGAAGUCCCUCGCGGAUGGAGCUGAAAUCAGUCGAAGAUACCAGCUGGCUGCAACUGUUUAUUAAAAACACAGCACUGUGCAAACACGAAAGUGGACGUAUACGGUGUGACGCCUGCCCGGUGCCGGAAGGUUAAUUGAUGGGGUCAGCGCAAGCGAAGCUCUUGAUCGAAGCCCCGGUAAACGGCGGCCGUAACUAUAACGGUCCUAAGGUAGCGAAAUUCCUUGUCGGGUAAGUUCCGACCUGCACGAAUGGCGUAAUGAUGGCCAGGCUGUCUCCACCCGAGACUCAGUGAAAUUGAACUCGCUGUGAAGAUGCAGUGUACCCGCGGCAAGACGGAAAGACCCCGUGAACCUUUACUAUAGCUUGACACUGAACAUUGAGCCUUGAUGUGUAGGAUAGGUGGGAGGCUUUGAAGUGUGGACGCCAGUCUGCAUGGAGCCGACCUUGAAAUACCACCCUUUAAUGUUUGAUGUUCUAACGUGGACCCGUGAUCCGGGUUGCGGACAGUGUCUGGUGGGUAGUUUGACUGGGGCGGUCUCCUCCUAAAGAGUAACGGAGGAGCACGAAGGUUGGCUAAUCCUGGUCGGACAUCAGGAGGUUAGUGCAAUGGCAUAAGCCAGCUUGACUGCGAGCGUGACGGCGCGAGCAGGUGCGAAAGCAGGUCAUAGUGAUCCGGUGGUUCUGAAUGGAAGGGCCAUCGCUCAACGGAUAAAAGGUACUCCGGGGAUAACAGGCUGAUACCGCCCAAGAGUUCAUAUCGACGGCGGUGUUUGGCACCUCGAUGUCGGCUCAUCACAUCCUGGGGCUGAAGUAGGUCCCAAGGGUAUGGCUGUUCGCCAUUUAAAGUGGUACGCGAGCUGGGUUUAGAACGUCGUGAGACAGUUCGGUCCCUAUCUGCCGUGGGCGCUGGAGAACUGAGGGGGGCUGCUCCUAGUACGAGAGGACCGGAGUGGACGCAUCACUGGUGUUCGGGUUGUCAUGCCAAUGGCACUGCCCGGUAGCUAAAUGCGGAAGAGAUAAGUGCUGAAAGCAUCUAAGCACGAAACUUGCCCCGAGAUGAGUUCUCCCUGACCCUUUAAGGGUCCUGAAGGAACGUUGAAGACGACGACGUUGAUAGGCCGGGUGUGUAAGCGCAGCGAUGCGUUGAGCUAACCGGUACUAAUGAACCGUGAGGCUUAACCUU
RNAcentral lists this ribosomal RNA (1746 nucleotides) under Escherichia coli. Its description in RNAcentral is "partial 23S ribosomal RNA". It matches the Rfam family "Bacterial large subunit ribosomal RNA", at positions 1200 to 2925 of the family's 2925-position model. RNAcentral also lists the same sequence under 1 other name. Lineage: Bacteria; Pseudomonadati; Pseudomonadota; Gammaproteobacteria; Enterobacterales; Enterobacteriaceae. The record is from RNAcentral.